AUGUCGUCCGCAAUCGCCGCCGCCGGCAAGCCAUCGGGAUCCGCCUCCGCCAUCGUCGGCACCUCGGCGAGAGGGUAUCAUACCCUCAAGAUCGACGGUUACUGGUGCACCAAGGUGACCCCCACGGGUGAGUUCCUCCAAUCCAGCCAAUUCUCCGUCGGCGGCCGUUGCUGGCGCAUCAACUAUUACCCCAAUGGCAUGGACUCCCAAACAGCGGGUUAUAUAUCAAUUUACCUCAAGCUCGAUGAAAUUGCAACCGAGGAUGUGAAGGCGAUGUUCACUAUUGGUUUCGCCAAGCGACUGCCGUGGCCGUGGGCAUGCACACCUGUAAGUGUUUUUGGUGGUGAGCAAAUGCGGGGCUAUCCGAAGUUCAUCAAGAGGGAGGAUUUGGAGAAGUCGGAGUAUCUCAAGGACGAUUCUUUCACAAUCAGGUGUGAGAUCGUCGACAUCUGCACCAAAGAGGCCAGAGCUCCAAAGUUUGUCACUGUGCCCCCACCUCAGCUGAACCAGCACCUCGGUGAUCUCCUCAAGACCGGCAAGGGCGCCGACGUUGUGUUUGAGGUAGGCGGUGAGUCGAUUGCGGCACACCGUUGCGUGCUUGCGUCCCGGUCGUCAGUCUUCAAUGUGGAGCUCUUUGGUGCUAUGAAAGAGGGCAACACAGCCAGUGUCAUACGCAUAGAUGACAUGGAGGCACAGGUGUUCAAGGCAUUGCUCUACUUUGCCUACACUGAUUCGUUGCUAGAGACAGAAAAAGAAGAUGAAGAAGCCAUGUACCCGCAUCUGCUCGUUGCGGCCGACAUGUAUGAUAUGGAGAGGCUAAAGCUGAUUUGUGAGGAAAAAUUAUGUGAGCACAUCAAAAUAGACUCUGUUCCGACCAUCCUGGCACUUGCUGAGAAGUACCAUUGCAAUGGGCUGAAGAAGGCAUGCUUUGAUUUUCUCAGCUGCCCGGCACGUCGGAGCGCAGUCGUGUCCACUGAUGGCUUCAAGCAUUUGUAUAAGAGCUUUCCUUCUCUUGUGAUGGAGCUGAUUUCCAUGCCCUCGCCACCUUAG
Molecule: ribosomal RNA, 1050 nt
Filed under: Triticum aestivum (bread wheat)
Lineage: Eukaryota; Viridiplantae; Streptophyta; Magnoliopsida; Poales; Poaceae
Description: partial small subunit ribosomal RNA
Source: RNAcentral